Molecule: RNA transcript, 1219 nt
Organism: Hordeum vulgare subsp. vulgare (domesticated barley)
Lineage: Eukaryota; Viridiplantae; Streptophyta; Magnoliopsida; Poales; Poaceae
Gene name: NAD(P)H-quinone oxidoreductase subunit T, chloroplastic-like
Exons: 3
Source: RefSeq, a predicted model, not a curated record
CGCACACACACCAAAAAAAAAAUGUGUCAACAUGUGGCGCAGGACACACGAAGCCCGUCGUCGAAUCUGAACCACUGCGAACUGUUACAGAGAAGCGAUGUGGUGCCCUCAUCCGCUCCCCACCACAACUCGCAUGCACACCUCAAAACUCCCCCGUAACCUCAACUUGUAGUCAUCCCUCAGAAGUACUGCACGGCUGCCGCCUCAUGGCGGCAUCCACAGCGUCGUCUAGCCCCUUGACGCCCUUCCUCCGUCGGCACGACGCACGCAGCCGUCGCCGUGCAAGGUUCGUCGUGGCGGCGAGCACGGCGGACGCGGAGCCGUCCCCGGAGGCUACGGCGGCAGGGCCGGGGAAGAAGAAGACGGUGGACACGAGGAUACACUGGUCCGACCCGGACGAAGGGUGGGUGGGAGGGAAGGCGAAGAAGGAAGGCGACGGGCGCAAGGAGAAGCCGCUGGGACGAAGCUUCGCCGACCUCAUCAACAACCCGUCCGAGUCACACUACCAGUUCCUAGGAGUAGCGCCUGGCGCCGACUUGGAGGAGAUCAAGGCGGCGUACCGGCGGUUGUCCAAGGAGUACCACCCGGACACGACGAGGCUGCCGCUCAAGUCGGCGUCGGAGAAGUUCAUCCGGUUGCGGGAGGUGUACAAGGUGCUUAGCAAGGAGGAGAGCCGCCGCUUCUACGACUGGACGCUGGCGCAGGAGGCCGAGAGCCGUCGGCUGCAGCAGCUCAGGUCCCGCCUCGAGGACCCCUACGAGCUCGACCUCCAGAAUUACAAGCCCGUGCCGGACACGGUCGAUCGCCUUGGCGGGAAGAACAUGGAGCUCAGCGACCAGGCCAUGACCGCCCUCACGUUCGACAUCGGCAUCAUCAUCUUCAGCAUCUGCUGCAUCAUCUACGCCAUCUUCUUCAAGGAGCAAUAUUGAUAGAAGAGAAGAGAAGAUACUAGUACUGGACUAUAGACACAAACGGUAUAGUAUAUGCAAGGCAUUGGUUGUCAAAGUUGAGUGUUGAUUCCACACAUUCAAGGACAGCAAGUAAAAGAGAGACAAAAGAGGAAGCAAGUUGAACUUCUGAAGAACGUUACAUUAUUAUUCCUCAACCGCAACUAAAGAUCACCAAUAGCCAGAAAGAAGCAAGUUGCCGCUGUAUUUACGAUUUUCUCCAACAUGGGAUCAGAACAGAUUGUUUGGUAUGUGCAGUGUUUAACUUGCAA